CAACCUGCCGAUGACUCGGGGAUAGCCUUUCGAAAGAAAGAUUAAUACCCGAUGGCAUAGUUCUUCCGCAUGGUGGAACUAUUAAAGAAUUUCGGUCAUCGAUGGGGAUGCGUUCCAUUAGGUUGUUGGCGGGGUAACGGCCCACCAAGCCUUCGAUGGAUAGGGGUUCUGAGAGGAAGGUCCCCCACAUUGGAACUGAGACACGGUCCAAACUCCUACGGGAGGCAGCAGUGAGGAAUAUUGGUCAAUGGACGAGAGUCUGAACCAGCCAAGUAGCGUGAAGGAUGACUGCCCUAUGGGUUGUAAACUUCUUUUAUACGGGAAUAAAGUGAGGCACGCGUGCCUUUUUGUAUGUACCGUAUGAAUAAGGAUCGGCUAACUCCGUGCCAGCAGCCGCGGUAAUACGGAGGAUCCGAGCGUUAUCCGGAUUUAUUGGGUUUAAAGGGAGCGUAGGCGGACGCUUAAGUCAGUUGUGAAAGUUUGCGGCUCAACCGUAAAAUUGCAGUUGAUACUGGGUGUCUUGAGUACAGUAGAGGCAGGCGGAAUUCGUGGCGUAGCGGUGAAAUGCUUAGAUAUCACGAAGAACUCCGAUUG
Molecule: ribosomal RNA, 594 nt
Filed under: uncultured Bacteroidota bacterium
Lineage: Bacteria; Pseudomonadati; Bacteroidota
Description: bacterial SSU rRNA
Rfam family: Bacterial small subunit ribosomal RNA
Source: RNAcentral